Molecule: ribosomal RNA, 491 nt
Filed under: uncultured bacterium
Lineage: Bacteria
Description: partial 16S ribosomal RNA
Rfam family: Bacterial small subunit ribosomal RNA
Source: RNAcentral
AGUGAACGCUGGCGGUAGGCCUAACACAUGCAAGUCGAACGGCAGCACAGUAAGAGCUUGCUCUUACGGGUGGCGAGUGGCGGACGGGUGAGGAAUACAUCGGAAUCUACUUUUUCGUGGGGGAUAACGUAGGGAAACUUACGCUAAUACCGCAUACGACCUACGGGUGAAAGCAGGGGAUCUUCGGACCUUGCGCGAUUGCAUGAGCCAAUGUCGGAUUAGCUAGUUGCGGGGUAAAGGCCCACCAAGGCGACGAUCCGUAGCUGGUCUGAGAGGAUGAUCAGCCACACUGGAACUGAGACACGGUCCAGACUCCUACGGGAGGCAGCAGUGGGGAAUAUUGGACAAUGGGCGCAAGCCUGAUCCAGCCAUACCGCGUGGGUGAAGAAGGCCUUCGGGUUGUAAAGCCCUUUUGUUGGGAAAGAAAAGCAGCAGGUUAAUACCCCGCUGUUCUGACGGUACCCAAAGAAUAAGCACCGGCUAACUUCGUG